AAACUCCCAUUUUUUGCAUCAAUAGAAUCAAUCAAUCUUCGAUGUAAGAAGAAUUUGAAGGUCAAUUUUCUCUUUCUCCUUUAAUUAUAAAAUUCUUUUAGUUCGGAUCACAUGAAAUACGCUGAUUCCUUCAAAAAAAAAAAAAAAAAAAAAAAACUGAUUGAUAAGUGUUGUUCAUAUAAUACAGACCUAAGCUGCAUGGAAUCGGAAGCGGGUACGUGGAAGCGGAAGCGUUCGAAAACGCAGAAGCGAAUUUUUUUAAAAAUAUAGGAAGCGGAUACGGAUUGGAAGCGUAUAUAUAUAUAUAUAUAUAUUUAUAUCUGUAUUUGUAAACAACUAUCCAAAUACAUAAUAUAAAUAUUGCAAAGAUAAAAGUAACCCAAUAUUGCAAAGAUACAUAAUUUUUUUUUGAUACAAUCUCUCUCUCUUUAUUCAGGAAGUACCACACGUACUCAAUAGUCAAUAGCCUACUACACACUACAGCCACCCUAGGACACUCAUUCACCUGCUUUGGAACUCUAAAAAAACAUCGACAAAGUAGACAAAACACACUUACACAUUGAUGGGCCUUCUCACUACCACAGGCCCAAAAACAAAAACGUCCAGCCCAUAGACUUCAUCUUCUUCUUCUUCGAUACACCACGAAGGGUUUGUAAACGCAGACCGCAUCAAUCAACACAUAUCCAUAUUCAAAUUAAUCAUUCGACGCUUCCAUUCUCUUUUUGUGCGGUUCCAAAUCGGAAUCAUGCGUUUCCCGUGAGCUUCCAAAUUCACCUUUUUGAGAAUCGUGAUUCCAUAGCGCUUCCGAACGAUUCCGAGCGCUCCCGCUCCCGCUUCCGCUUCCGAAGCGAGAAUCGGAGCUUUCGUCACGCUUCCAUGCUGCUUAGAUACAGACUGGUUUCUCUCACUCUCUUUUUCUCCUUUUCUCUUUCUCUGGGUUUCUCUCAGUGACC
RNAcentral lists this long non-coding RNA (953 nucleotides) under Arabidopsis lyrata. Its description in RNAcentral is "long non-coding RNA (ALYR_LNC001843)". Lineage: Eukaryota; Viridiplantae; Streptophyta; Magnoliopsida; Brassicales; Brassicaceae. The record is from RNAcentral.